AAUUCAUGGUGAGGCCAAUCUCUCAGUCCUUAUAUAGCUCUCAUGCUUCGAAGGGUGAUUCACCUUCCAUCUGCCUAAAGCAAGUAACCUAGUUCCUUAAUU
Molecule: small nucleolar RNA, 102 nt
Organism: Lathyrus oleraceus (garden pea)
Lineage: Eukaryota; Viridiplantae; Streptophyta; Magnoliopsida; Fabales; Fabaceae
Source: RefSeq, a predicted model, not a curated record